GGGAAGGUGGCUCAGUGGUAGAGUGCUUGCCUCGCAAGCAUGAGGCCCUGGGUCCCAUUCCU
Molecule: transfer RNA, 62 nt
Filed under: Dipodomys ordii (Ord's kangaroo rat)
Lineage: Eukaryota; Metazoa; Chordata; Mammalia; Rodentia; Heteromyidae
Rfam family: tRNA
About the family: Transfer RNA (tRNA) molecules are approximately 80 nucleotides in length. Their secondary structure includes four short double-helical elements and three loops (D, anti-codon, and T loops).
Source: Rfam by way of RNAcentral